AGUGAACGCUGGCGGUAGGCCUAACACAUGCAAGUCGAACGGCAGCACAGUAAGAGCUUGCUCUUACGGGUGGCGAGUGGCGGACGGGUGAGGAAUACAUCGGAAUCUACUUUUUCGUGGGGGAUAACGUAGGGAAACUUACGCUAAUACCGCAUACGACCUACGGGUGAAAGCAGGGGAUCUUCGGACCUUGCGCGAUUGAAUGAGCCGAUGUCGGAUUAGCUAGUUGGCGGGGUAAAGGCCCACCAAGGCGACGAUCCGUAGCUGGUCUGAGAGGAUGAUCAGCCACACUGGAACUGAGACACGGGCCAGAAUCCCACGGGAGGCAGCAGGGGGGAAUAUUGGACAAUGGGCGCAAGCCUGAUCCAGCCAUACCGCGUGGGUGAAGAAGGCCUUCGGGUUGUAAAGCCCUUUUGUUGGGAAAGAAAAGCAGCAGGUUAAUACCCCGCUGUUCUGACGGUACCCAAAGAAUAAGCACCGGCGAACUUCGG
RNAcentral lists this ribosomal RNA (491 nucleotides) under uncultured bacterium. RNAcentral's name for it is "partial 16S ribosomal RNA". It matches the Rfam family "Bacterial small subunit ribosomal RNA", at positions 29 to 506 of the family's 1533-position model. The record is from RNAcentral.